GAUGUUUUUGAGAAAAUAAAUAAAUGUAUCAUAAAAUCAAAUUUAAUAUAUGUCUAUAAAUAAUUAUCCUCUUGGCCAAAAUUGCAACAUAGGCGAUUUGAGGUUUGAUGAGAUUUAUUUCACUCGAUGGAAGGUUAGUCAAGCAUUAUUACCUACUAACAAAGCACCACUAUGCACAAAGAGUGAUGAUCAAGAAAUUACAUUUUCUGGAAGGCUCCACAUAUUGGACCUUGUAAAUGGAUCAUGUCGAUAAAAGGAAGAUGUCAGCCGAGUGUGGGAUGCCACGCAUCCUCUCUACCAGGGAAAACCAACGUGGUACUCGAGCAAGACUAGGCAUUGUAGGCAUUGUCGUUUUUGCUAAUAAAAAUUGUUUUGUCAAUAAGUACUCAUCUAGUAUAAUUUUCACGACACAAUCAAUCAACAUACAUUUUAUUUA
Long non-coding RNA from Medicago truncatula (barrel medic), 436 nucleotides. RefSeq lists it as uncharacterized. Lineage: Eukaryota; Viridiplantae; Streptophyta; Magnoliopsida; Fabales; Fabaceae. The record is from RefSeq and is a predicted model, not a curated record. The transcript is spliced from 2 exons.